CCGGCGCACGGGUGAGUAACACGUAUGCAACCUGGCCGUCACAGGUGGAUAACCGGAAGAAAUUCCGACUAAUACAGCAUAACACUCCUGAGGGACAUCCUUCGGGAGUCAAAGGAGGCAACUCCAGUGACGGAUGGGCAUGCGGCGCAUUAGGUAGUUGGUAGGGUAACGGCCUACCAAGCCGACGAUGCGUAGGGGUUCUGAGAGGAAGGUCCCCCACAUUGGAACUGAGACACGGUCCAAACUCCUACGGAAGGCAGCAG
Molecule: ribosomal RNA, 263 nt
Filed under: uncultured bacterium
Lineage: Bacteria
Description: partial 16S ribosomal RNA
Rfam family: Bacterial small subunit ribosomal RNA
Source: RNAcentral